GACGGAGGGUGCUAGCGUUGUUCGGAAUGACUGGGCGUAAAGGGCGCGUAGGCGGCUCGUGAAGUCGGGUGUGAAAGCCCGGGGCUCAACCCCGGAACGGCAUCCGAUACUGGCGGGCUUGAGACCGGGAGAGGAGGGUGGAAUACCCAGUGUAGAGGUGAAAUUCGUAGAUAUUGGGUGGAACACCGGUGGCGAAAGCGGCUCUCUGGCCCGGAUCUGACGCUGAGGUGCGAAAGCCAGGGGAGCAAACGGG
Molecule: ribosomal RNA, 253 nt
Filed under: uncultured bacterium
Lineage: Bacteria
Description: partial 16S ribosomal RNA
Rfam family: Bacterial small subunit ribosomal RNA
Source: RNAcentral